This 31-nucleotide non-coding RNA is filed under the name Homo sapiens (human). The record is from RNAcentral. Lineage: Eukaryota; Metazoa; Chordata; Mammalia; Primates; Hominidae.
UGCAUAGGAGAAACACCACGGAUCACAGCGC